This 253-nucleotide ribosomal RNA is filed under the name uncultured bacterium. Its description in RNAcentral is "partial 16S ribosomal RNA". It matches the Rfam family "Bacterial small subunit ribosomal RNA", at positions 524 to 776 of the family's 1533-position model. The record is from RNAcentral.
UACGUAGGGCGCGAGCGUUGUCCGGAAUUAUUGGGCGUAAAGAGCUCGUAGGCGGUUUGUCGCGUCGGUUGUGAAAACCCAAGGCUCAACCUUGGGCCUGCAAUCGAUACGGGCAGACUAGAGUACUGCAGGGGAGACUGGAAUUCCUGGUGUAGCGGUGAAAUGCGCAGAUAUCAGGAGGAACACCAAUGGCGAAGGCAGGUUACUGGUACGCAACUGACGCUGAGGCACGAAAGCGUGGGGAGCAAACAGG